AGUGUGCCUGGCUAUUCAGAAAUAAUUAUACUACUUGAUGAACCAUGGUACUGUCUCCUCUUGUCUUCCUGUUUGAUUACAGAUCAGAUAUCAGCACUUAAUGGAUACAGGGAAGUGAGUGUGAUACAGAUGGGAUCUUACCUGCCAGCUGCGGCAAAGCCACCACAGAGACGUGUAUCUCUUCAACAUAAGAAAGUUAACCUAAAACCCACAGAAUUAUUAUUGCACCAACCACAUAUCCUGGAAUAUAUCUCUGCAGAUUUAAGUCUUAGGGUGCAUUAUCUCCAUGCUCUGAUGUAAUGUGUGCGACUAUUUGCUUGGAUAAUGCUCCUAUUGCUGACUUCUAGAAAUCUCUCAAUCUUUCAUAUUGGCAGGGACCUCUGGAGAUCAUCUGGACCAAGCCCCCCAGUCAGGCACAGCCACCUAGAGUCAAUUGUCCAGGACCAUGUUCAGACAGCUUUUGAACAUCUCCAAGGAUGAAGACACCACCACUUCAAGGCAGACUGUACCACAGCUUAGUCAUGCUUACAGUGAACAAGAGUUUUCUGAAGUUCAGAGAGAACCUCCAGAAAGUCCUAUUCUGCAAAGCUGCGUUUCAGCCUGGAGGAUCCCAGAUGUUUAAUGAGGAUGUUAAACACGACUGGACACAUUUCUGACCCCUGGGGUACAGUGUUGCUUAAUGGUCUCAGAAAGUGAGUAAUCUUUCAGUUAUUGGCUGAAUAUUUGAUUUCUAAUUUUCAACCUCAAUGUAAAAUAGUAAAACUUUAU
Long non-coding RNA from Pipra filicauda (Wire-tailed manakin), 768 nucleotides. RefSeq lists it as uncharacterized. The transcript has 3 exons. Lineage: Eukaryota; Metazoa; Chordata; Aves; Passeriformes; Pipridae. The record is from RefSeq and is a predicted model, not a curated record.